CUUACCCGCCCCAAAUCUCUCUCUCCGAUUCCAAUUCCAAUUCCCCAUCUUCUUCUUCUUCUUCUUCCUAUUUUUUCUCGAUCCCAAUCCCUCAAAUCUCUCACGCCCUUUUCUCACCUCCCUUUCGAUUUUUGAUUCUCUGUGCCAGCUCAGCCCUAGAACUGGCUUCGCAUUCGGGCGUGUUCUAAUCGGAGAUCUCCAUAGAGGGCUUGAUCUUGCGUUUGAGUUAAUUAUUCGAAUCUAGGGUUUUCUCUGGGUGAUCUACACAGAAAACCGGGAUUGAUGUUUCGUCUCAGGCACGAUUCCGGGAUUGAUUGCAACCGCGAUGGAGGGCUGCUGUUAUGCAUGGGUCGCCGCCAGCUGAGCUCCCGAUACGGCGUCGUCUUCGUCGGCACAUGUGGCCUGUCCCUCCUUCCAACGCCACGACUGUAGCUUCUGACCCUGGUUUCUUCACCAAAGAUGGACGCAAAAUUGGCGUUGGAGAUUGUGCACUUUUCAAGCCUCCUCGGGGUUCCCCACCUUUUGUUGGAAUAAUUCGCUGGCUAAAAUUAGACAAGGGAGACAGUUUGAGUUUAGGAGUUAAUUGGCUUUAUCGGCCUGCUGAUGUGAAGCUUCUUAAAGGGGUCUCGCCAGAAGCUGCCCCGAACGAGGUCUUCUACUCCUUUCAUAAGGAUGAGAUACCUGCUGCAUCGCUACUGCAUCCGUGUAAAGUCACAUUCCUACGUAAAGGUGUUGAACUUCCUACAGGGAUAUCCUCAUUUGUGUGCAGAAGAGUGUUUGAUACUGAGAACAAGUGUUUAUGGUGGUUAACUGACAAAGAUUACAUUAAUGAACGACAGGAAGAAGUAGAUCAUCUUUUAGACAAGACAAAACUAGAAAUGCAUGGGGUAGUGCCGUCAGGAGGUCGUUCUCCGAAGCCCUUGAAUGGUCCCCCAUCAACCCCACAGUUCAAAUCUGGUUCAGAUAGUUUACAGAAUAGUGCAUCUUCAUUUUCUUCUCAAUGUAAGGGAAAAAAGAGGGAACGAGGUGAUCAGAGCUCCGAUCCUGUAAAACGCGAGCGCUUAGUUAAGACAGAGGAUGCGGAGUCUGGCCAGGCCAGAGCGGAAGAUGUAUUGAAGUCCGAGCUUUCCAACAUAACAGACAAAGGAGGACUUGUAGACUUAGAGGCAGUGGAGAAGUUAGUUCAACUUAUGCAACCUGACAACGGUGACAAAAAAAUAGAUAUGGCGGGCCGAAUAUUGCUUGUUGAUGUGAUAGCAGUUACUGAUAGAGUUGAUUGCCUUGGGCGAUUUGUACAGCUGAGGGGCUUGGCUGUAUUGGAUGAAUGGCUUCAAGAGGUUCACAAGGGGAAAAUCGGUGAUGGUAGUAGCCCUAAACAAAGUGAUAAAUCUAUUGACGAAUUUCUCUUUGCAUUACUUCGUGCACUGGAUAAGCUUCCUGUAAAUCUCCAUGCUCUACAAACUUGUAAUAUUGGCAAAUCUGUGAAUAACUUGCGCACUCACAAAAACUCUGAGAUUCAGAAAAAGGCUAGGACUUUGGUUGACACAUGGAAGAAGCGUGUAGAAGCUGAGAUGAAAUUGAAUGAAUCAAAGUCUGGAUCAAGCCGUGGUGUCAACUGGCCUUCAAAGCCUGCAUCUUCAGAAGUUUCUCAGGUUGGGAGCAGAAAAACUGGAAGUAUGUCUGAGGUUGGCUCAAAAAGCUGCCCUGUUCAACCAUCCGCAUCUAAAUCUCCUCAAGUUAAAGUUGGCUCCUCUGAAAUGAUUUCAAAGUCUUCUACCUCUCCUGGAUCAACACAGCUGCUGCCAGUAUCCACUGGUAAUACCUCUAAGGAUCAAAAUUACAGAAUUUUAGGUGGUGCUGGAAACAACGAUGUUCAAUUGAUGCCAAUCAAGGAGGAAAGGAGCAGUAGUUCUCAAAACAACAGCCAGUCCAGUGAUCGUGCAAAGAAUGUGGGUUCCUUAUAUAAGGAAGAUGCAAGAAGCUCAAGUGCUGGUUCAGUGAGUGCAACUAAACUUUCCAGUAGCCCUUCUCGACAACGGAAAUCAAGCAAUGGUCUUCAUGGAUCCGCAGUCUCAGGGGUGCACAAGGAAACAGGACCUGGAAAAGUUGGUAUCCCAAAUAAACAUCUGAUUUCUGAGAAAGCAUCAACAGCCGGAGUAUGUUUUGAGAAAAAUAAUGACGUUCCCAUGGUUGACCAGGCAAGUAGCAGACUAAUUGUGAGGCUGCCGAACACUGGCCGCAGUCCAGCUAGAGGUGCUUCGGGAGGUUCUUUAGAAGACCAUGUUACAGCUGGGAGAGCUUCUCUGUCUGCUGAAAAGCAUGGCAACCAGGACAAAAAACCUAAGAGUAAAAGUGAUGCUUUGCUGGGAAUUAGUACUUCUGAUAUGAACUCAGCUGUAUGUCACAGCAAAGAUGAAUUAUGUGCGUCUGAAGAGAAAAAUGUGCCAGCAAUCUCCAGUGAAAAAAAUAGGGCUGGUGAAGAUUCUGGAAAACCAAUUGAGGAUCCGAAGGAUGCUGGUCCUGGAUCAGAAAUUAUUUCAAGAACGGGAAAAUCAUAUGAAGCAUCCUUAAGCUCCAUGAAUGCUUUGAUUGAAAGCUGUGUCAAGUUUUCUGAAGGUGGUGACACUGCUUCACCUGGAGAUGAUGUUGGGAUGAAUUUACUGGCGAGUGUGGCAGCUGGGGAGUUCAAAUCUGAAGAUGUGUCACCAUCGUGUUCUCCAUUGAGGAAUUCUCCUGUGCCUGAUGGAUCAUUCACAGAAAAUGAUUCCAAAUUGAAAGAACUGGAUGAAGCCAAAUGUCUACUUAUUGGCAAUGCUAGUAGCAGUUCUACUGCAGAGCUGAGAAACACUGGUAAUUCAUUGCGGGUGAAGAGUGAAUCAGGACAUUCUGUGAUCCAUUUGACAGCUAAUGUUUCUGCGGAGAUCAAAAGUAGUUCAGCUGGCGAGUGCAAUGAUAAUUUGAAAUUUUCUUCCAAUAUGCAACAAAAUGUUUAUAGACCAUCCCUGGUGGCUGACGGGAAGCCUAUCAAGGAUGCUUCUGGAUCGGAGCUGUCUUCAUGUCCUAUAAUAGGGGGUUUUGGGAAGGCUGAAGAGUGUAAUCAGCCUCAUGAGCAAGGAAAAUUUGGGGCUUGCAAUGCCAAAGAAUGCAGUACUUAUGAGUGUAAAUCAAAAGUGUCCUCGGCUUUGAAUGAUGAGGAUAAGAUUCUACAUAAAGCUGAGGAAAGAACUGUGAGUAGCAGUACUCCUGUUGUGUCUGAAGCAGCCUCUGGGAGUGGAAAAGUUGUAAAGGCCAAUGAGAAAUCAGCCUGCUUGUCAACUGAAGUGACUGAUGACAACCCGGUUCCCAUUAAGGAUUCAAGUAUUGCUCUUUUGGCAGGGCAGGGACUAUCUGGUGUGACAGAAAAUCACUCAGAUUUGAAGGAGGGAAGGAAUGAGGAUGCUUUUGCUUUUUCUUGUUCUGGAAAUACGUUGCAGUUGCAGUUGAAGGGUGAAAACACAGAUGAAGAGAAAACCAUGGAUCACUCUGAGCAGACUGUGAAAGACGAAAGGGCUAAGAGUGUGGAAAGGAAAGACGCUUCGGAACACAUCAGUGAAUUUUCUGAGGAGACUAAGGAAAGAAAGGAGGCUUCUGGUCACUGUUCUGCUGUACCAGUUUCCCGUGUUCAGUCGCCUGUAAUACAUGCACAAGAAAACCACAAGGCUGGGUGCAAGUUGGAAGCUAUUGAAUCAAGGGUGAAAGAGGAGCGUCAAAUUUCAAGUGUAAAUGCUUCAGGGUCGGAUACUGCUGUAAAGCUGGACUUUGAUUUGAAUGAAGGCUUCCCUGUUGAUGAUGGUAUUCAACAAGAGUUUGUUAGAACAUUAGAUCAUGGAACUCCAUCUUCUGUUCAUAUUCCUUGCCCUUUACCCUUUCAAAUGUCUUCCAUGUCAGGGAGUUUUCCUGCAUCAAUUACUGUGGUUGCACCAGCCAAAGGUUCAUUUGUCCCACCUGAAAACCCAAUGCGGAGUAAGGGUGAACUUGGAUGGAAGGGAUCUACAGCUAGGAGUGCAUUCCGACCUGCUGAGCCCCGAAAAAAUUUGGAAGCACCAAUUAGUACAAGUGAUCCACCUGUUGACACUGCUUCUAGCAAACAAGGCCGCCUGCUAUUUGACUUUGAUCUCAAUGUUCCUGAUGAGAGAGUCUAUGAGGAUGUUAUUUCCCAAACCACUGCACAUGUCAUGGAUCACAAGUCUGGGUCUCGUGAUCGUGGUGCUGGAGGGCUUGAUCUCGAUUUGAAUAGAGUUGAUGAGAGUUCUGAUAUUGUGACACAUCCUGUGAUCAACAAUUCUAGGUUAGAGAUACCUCCGCCAAAUAGGUCAUCAUUAUCUGGUGGACUAUCCAAUGGUGGGAUAAAUGACUUCCGAGACUUUGAUUUGAACAAUGGCCCUGGCCUCGAUGAAGUUGGAUCUGAAGCUACACCAUAUACCCUGCAGCAUAUAAAAAGCAGUGUGCCUCUUCGGACACCAGUGUCUGGUUUAAGAAUGAAUAACCCUGACUUUGGGAAUUUUUCAGCAUGGUUCCCUCAUGGAAAUUCAUAUCCUGCCAUCACAGUCCCACCCAUCUUUCCAGGCAGAGGUGAGCAGAGUUACGGUGUUGCUGCUGGGUCACAGAGAGUCUUGUGUCCUCCCUCUGGUAAGACCUCAUUUGGUCCUGAAAUGUACCGGGGGCCUGUACUGUCUUCCUCAACUGCAAUGCCGUUUCCUCCUGCUACUACAUUUCAGUAUCCAGGAUUUCCUUUUGAAACCAAUUAUCCUCUUUCAUCAGGCUCCUUUUCAGGUUGUUCACCUGCAUAUGUUGAUUCAACUUCUGGUGGGGCACUCUGCUUCCCCACCAUGCCUUCACAGCUCAUGGCACCAGGUGGUGUAGUCUCAUCACCUUACCCACGACCGUAUAUGGUGAACCUUGCUGGCAGUAGCAAUAAUGCUGGCCUUGAUGGUAGGAAAUGGGGUAGUCAGGGCCUUGACCUUAAUUCUGGGCCUGGAGGUGCAGAAGCAGAACCGAGGGAUGAGAGGUUGCCAGCAGGGUUGAGGCAGCUUUCUGUUCCCAGUUCACAAUCCCUUGUAGAGGAACAGAUGAAAUUAUGUCAGGUGGGAGGGUUAUUAAAGCGAAAGGAGCCUGAUAGUGGAUUGGAUGCUUCUGAUCGCAUGAGCUACAAGCAACCUUGGCCGUAGAGUAGAAUCACAUUAUGGGUGCAGAAAUUUGUAAUGGCCUGCUUUUCAGGGUCUUGCAUUGAAACAUACAGCAGAUGUGGAGGUCAAGAGGCGAAUGCUAAAGGGAGUUUUUCAAUGUAGAUAUCUAACUCAUGGAAAGCAUCUUUGGUGUUGCUGCCUAAUGCUGAGUCACGGGUACUCAGUGUUCAGACUUGUGCCCAUUCAGCAAAUCGAGUACUGCUCAGCAUAUUGGUGCAGUGUAUACUGCUGGUAUAGGGUUAGUACUAAAGCAUGUGGCUGUACUGCAAAUCCAAACUCGUUCUCGUACGUGCCAUUGUAUGGGUAUGGUCCUAUUAACUACAGCUAUAGAUGUAUUGAUACAAUAACGGUGGUUAGGUUAUAACAACAAUUGUUCUACUCGGUUGGAUGUAUUUAUGAUCAUGUGCCAACUCAUUACAACAGUGUGUUGCGGCAAGUGUAGCUGGAUUUUGAUAAUUUUUCCAGCCAUGGAAAACUUUUGUUUUCAGUGCCAGUAAACAUUUGCUCGUUGAAUGCCCUUAUCACUGCUGUUAGAAUUUAAGGGGUAGGCUAUAAAUUUCUAUUCAGAGUGGACUCCCUCUUGUUCUUAUGCAGUUUUCCAGUGUUGUACUAUGGACUCAUCAUUCCCAAUAAAGUUCUUGCAUGAAGAGGUUAUAGAACUCGACUUCAGGCUCUCUUUAAGCCGGGGAGGUCAGUAUGUUGGAUUGAUGGUGAAAGAAAAAUCGACUUCAGGUGGAACCGAUGCCACUGCAUCAAAAAAUUCAAUUCUGAAGAGAAUGGUCUAUAAAAGAGAGGAGGUUUCUCAGCAAUGAAAAAACGAGAACCUUUUCGAAGUUUAUGACUUCCCGCUACCUUAGCUCAGCUGCAAACCAUUCAAAGUUUCGAGCUUGUGGUUGCGAAGAACAAUUUUCUCUUCAUUACUGUUCCACAAAACGUCAACUUAGAACUUGUGCUGCAACGACUUUGUGGACACUUGGGUUCUUUGGUUCCUAGAUUUCAAAACGAAGUACAUGUAUUAUAGUGGAUGCAAACAUUGCGAAAGGAAACCAGAUCCUUUAGACCUUUACUAUUGAUCCUCGAUGAUAUUUGGUCAGGGUCAGAAUUCAUUCUUGAGAGCUUUCAAUUUGAAAUGUUAAAUUAC
This is an RNA transcript of Argentina anserina (silverweed cinquefoil), 6366 nucleotides long. RefSeq lists it as uncharacterized. The transcript is spliced from 5 exons. The record is from RefSeq and is a predicted model, not a curated record. NCBI's taxonomy places the organism in Eukaryota, Viridiplantae, Streptophyta, Magnoliopsida, Rosales, Rosaceae.